AGUCAGUUGGCUGCUGUGAGGACGAGGAAGAGUCAGUACUUCGAGGAGAUGCCCACAAGAAACAUCAAGGAGUGUGCACACCAGAGCUCUCCUUUCCCUGGGAGUGAUGCCAUGGCAGUGGCUGAUCCACACAAGAUCAGGCUGCAGCAGAGAUUGCCUUCAGAACUGUUCUGCUGACAAGGAGCACAGCAAAACUGACACAGCAAGGCACAGAAAUGCUGCGGGAGCAGCUCAGAAUUGACAAGUGACAGCCAGAACAAGUGGCAGUGACCAGGUUUGCUCCCUGAGAUCUGAUUUCACAUUCAGCAUUACCUGAGAUGAAACAGGAAUAAACAGGGCAGUAGAUGUGAGAGCAGAUGAGUUUUGCUGACCCGUUGAAGGCUCGUCAGUGUGUUAAGGAAGAUGUGAGGCUGUGGCCCCAAAUCCCCCCUGGGCACAGGAACCUGAGCAUGGAGACAACUCAGGGCCCUGUGUGCUCCACCUGCCUGGGGACACCAGGACAAAGGCACAGAGAACCUGUUUCAGUCACUGCACAUAAAUAGCAGCCACCCACUAUGGAGCCACUCUGGGUCCCAGUCCUGUGCUGCAGCAAUCACAGUCACUCUGGCAAUGGCAUGGGGACACAGAGGACACCAGGGGCCCAAGAGAAAUGGUGGGAGCAAGGAUGGAUGGGGCUCUGGCACAGUGAAAGGGACCCUGCCCAUGGCAGAGGGUUAGAAGUAAAUGAUCUCUAAGGUCCCUUCAAGUCACACUGUGAUUCUGAGAAACUGUGCAGAAUACACCAUUCUGGAUGGAUCUGGUGGAAAAAAGACAAAGCUACCUCACUCUGCUGAUGUUUCUAUACAGUUCCAAAAUUUGAUUAACACAUCUAAUAGGACAGACAGUACCUAGCAGCUGUCAGUAAUUAUUUAGCCUCUGGCUGGCCUGCUUAUCCUGAAAAGAUUAAAGAAUCUGCAAAUGUACUUCACAGCAGAGACAAGAACUAAACAAGAUUAUUAGCCUUUAUGAGAAUGAACAGCAAUAAAAUGACAUGGCAGGGCUUAAUGCUAUUUCUUCAACAAGAAGUCACUAUUCUUUAUAAGCUGAAUAUUUCACAAAUGCCAAGAUCAUGUAUCUUGGGAAGAGCAGUGGGAAGUGGAUCACAGAUCCAUUCCCUAGGCACAGGCACUGUGUGGGAUGCAGUCUGUGAGAACAGGAGUGCCCCAGGAUGGAGAAAGGCCAUCCACAGGAGAUGUCAGGUUCUGAGAUAAUGGCACAGAGUUAUUCUCAGGAACCAAUAUCCCCUGGUUUGUCUAGUGUAUAUCUGUCAUUAAUCUGAUGGUGACAUUUGGGGCUGCCUCAUUUUCCUGCU
Long non-coding RNA from Zonotrichia leucophrys gambelii, 1351 nucleotides. RefSeq lists it as uncharacterized. NCBI's taxonomy places the organism in Eukaryota, Metazoa, Chordata, Aves, Passeriformes, Passerellidae. The transcript is spliced from 5 exons. The record is from RefSeq and is a predicted model, not a curated record.